AACAUUUAAUUAAUAUUACGCUUUAACAAGCGCGUAAUGAGAACAAUACGUCUGCUAACUCAUACCUACUUGUUUGUUUUAUUACUUCAGUGCCUAGUACGAAUUAUGAAUUAGUUUUGAAUCGGCGACCCUAUAUAUUUUAUAUGUAUAGAGGACCUUAAGUGGUAUUAAGGUCACAGUGGGACAAUAAAAAAAACUCUUUAACGCCAUUGAAUAUAUAGGUCAUAAUGAGCAACUUUUAUUAUGGGACCAAUCCCGGAAUCGCAAAAAAUAAAUUACUCUCCCAUAGAAAAUGUCAAGGUCAGACAGCCAAAAUGUAUGAAUUAGCCACUUUAUUUUUCGCGAUUUCGGGGUUAGUUCCAUGGUAAAAGUUGCUUAGUACGACCUAUAUAAUAUUCACCCCAUAAAUGAUUGCAGGUGACUUAAUAAACACCGUAAAAUAUAAAAUAGGAGAAACUUUAUUCAAAAGCGAUUCAUUACAACUUAACUAUAACAUUCAUACAUGUACGUAACAUCUUCACAUGUCUAAAGUCUCUUCAAAGCGUGAUUGAAGAUGAAGGUCUACCUUUUACAUUGUUUUCUUAGUCUCUUUAAGAAGAAGCGAUUUACACAAAUUACUAUGGAACAGCAUCAAUGAAACACGAUCAAGGCGCUGAUUCUAUUUUAACAAUUUGAUAUUGUUUUCAUUUUAGUUUGAUACGACGUUGAGACUUAACAGUUUUGAAUGAUUAAUGGUUAGUUUCACUAGACUUAAAUCGACCGGGAUAUGAACCGUGAUUACCUUUUAUAUUGUUUUUGACCUCCCGAUAUUUUGACGCAUACCAUGCAUCCUGUUCACAGGUAAUUGGAGAUAGCGGAUGGGUGUCAAAGUUGUGUAGACCGCGCUUGAUCUACGCUCAUUCGUGCGUACGGUUCAUAUCCCGGUCGAUUUAAGACGUUGAACCUUGUCAUCAGGCAUCUGAAGCACACCAAUAAGUGACUCCUGAUUCAUGUUCACGGUCAAGUUCGUAUAAAUACUUAACAUGAUAUCUAUAUCAAAUUAAUCCAAACUAAUCGGCCUCUUAUUCGGCUGUCAGUCUCACACCUCUUCACUACCUUUUGUUAUACCUUUUUGUAAUGGAGUUGAACUAGAAAUAAUUCCCUGACCUAAUUGAAGAUUCUUUUCAAAUCAUAAUCGUACGACAAGAUAGCAAGUAAAAAGAUUACUCUUACAAAUUGAUCUGUUCCAAUGAAUCUAGUGGUUAAAGUAAACAGAAUAAAAAACAGUUUUCCAUUAAAUACUUAUUUCUUUGAUUUUAUUGCCUUUUGUUCUAUUUAGGGGUUUUACUUUUUCUCUAGAUAAUUUAUGAUUGGUUUAAUUUAUUUUGAUUUAUGUUCCAUUAUAUUUGCAGGAAGGAAGAGGUACGUAUAUAAUACAGAACGUUCAAAAUACUAGUGUAAGUGUAGAAAGCCAAGAGUAUGGGUGCUUGUAAAUUUUAGUACCUAAAUAACAACUUUUUCCUAUAACUAGUACCAAGAACGUGAACGUGAACGUGAACGUGGCGACUUGAUCGAGACGUUCAAAAUAAUUCACGGAUACUACGACUGUCCAGAACUAAGCGACCUCUUCACUCGAAAUCCAAACACGCGCACAAGAGGACACUAUCUUAAACUAGUAACAAGAAUAAGAAUAAGAAUAAGAAUAAGAAAUAUUUAUUAGCACAAAAAGUUACAAAGUUUAGAUUAAUAUUUAAUUGUACUCACAGAAAAUUGCGCUAAAAGGUCUUCACUCAGCUUGAUGUCCCGAAGUUAGUCUUACGACACACAACAAAGCAUAAAACAAAUAUCAGCAAAAACUUUAUUGCAAACCGAAUAGUAAAUGCCUGGAACAAAUUACCCUCUGAAGUUGUGAACUCUUGUAGUGAGAUGAAUCAAUUUAAAAACAAUCUUGACAGACUAUCUAAGCAGUGAAAUCGUGCUAAGUGAACUCUGAUUUAGACGUACCAGCAUCAGCUGCCUGUCUAAAACUAAAUAAUAAUAAUAAGUAGUACAUUUGCCAUAGUUGUAUAUACACACACAUUGAUGUACACAUGAUAUAUUAUGCGCACAUUAGAUAUAAAAUGAUUUCCCUACUAUAGGGAGCGUGCAUAAACUUUAGGGGGCAACACAGAAGCGAGCUGUAAAUGUAAAGUUUAUGCUUCUAAUGUAGCCCGCAUGAUAGCAGAUCCUACUUUGCACAUAAAACGUACUAGAACGGUAGAUGGCAGCACUUGCUCUGGCGGAAAGUGUCAAUGUAAUAUGUUUAUGUUUCCGACACAGGCCACAAGAUGGCAGACCCUCCAAAGCGCACGGUCUCUAUGGCAUGGCCACCCCGUGAUAUUAAAUUCGGCGCUUCGGUCAACGUUUGAUGAUACACAAAUGCUAAUUAUACACGCCAUGGACACGCUUUGCGCUCAAAUCUAUCUAAGUUGCAAGCAGGCUGCACUUGAUCGUCAAAAUUUACAAAUGAUGAUGACGUGCGGUCUAAAUAAUUGGACAAUAAUCAGUAUUCAAUAGGACGAGGUUCAUUUUUAACGGUCACGCGAAUCAUUGAAUCAUUAUUACCUUUAACUGGGUUUAAAUACGACGCGGAUAACGAAGGACAGUCAUUGCAUCUGCUGUUUUAGAGACUGCCGCAAUGACGCUACGAACUAUGAUUCUUCUGUUCCUGAUAUCUUCGUCAAUGACAAACAACGAUGUAGCGUCUCAGACAACAGAAGCAACUUCUCAAGUAACCCUGAGUUUAGAACAACAAAGACUUAUAGCUUUCUUAAACGCAUUGAAUGGAUAUUCGAACACCACUAGGUUACUUGUACUUGGGAAGAAAUAAAUUUAUUUUUGUAUUAAUGGAACAAUAUGAAAAAAAUAAAUUAUUAGUAUUACGUUUGAUGUGUGAAAAUAAAGUUUUUUUAUUAGUGCCGUGUUACUAAUUAAUAAUUCUUAA
Long non-coding RNA from Cydia pomonella (codling moth), 2962 nucleotides. RefSeq lists it as uncharacterized. The record is from RefSeq and is a predicted model, not a curated record. The transcript has 2 exons. NCBI's taxonomy places the organism in Eukaryota, Metazoa, Arthropoda, Insecta, Lepidoptera, Tortricidae.